This 491-nucleotide ribosomal RNA is filed under the name Hylodes phyllodes (Boraceia tree toad). RNAcentral's name for it is "partial small subunit ribosomal RNA". It matches the Rfam family "Bacterial small subunit ribosomal RNA", at positions 794 to 1522 of the family's 1533-position model. Lineage: Eukaryota; Metazoa; Chordata; Amphibia; Anura; Hylodidae. The record is from RNAcentral.
GCCCGAUCGUAAACUUUAAAUUACUUCCCCCAUCGCCAGAGAACUACGAGCAAAGCUUAAAACUCAAAGGACUUGACGGUACCCCAUAUCCCCCUAGAGGAGCCUGUCCUAUAAUCGAUAAUCCCCGUUAAACCUCACCACUCCUAGCUUCUCAGCCUGUAUACCUCCGUCGUCAGCUUACCACGUGAGCGAAACUUAGUGAGCCUAAUGUCCACACGCCCACACGUCAGGUCAAGGUGCAGUAAAUGAAGUGGCAAGAGAUGGGCUACACUUUCUAAAAUAGAAUACACGAAAGACCACAUAUGAAAACUGGUCAAAAGGCGGAUUUAGUAGUAAAAGAAAACCAGAGUGUUUUUUUAAAUUCGGCACUGGGGUGUGUACACACCGCCCGUCACCCUCUUCAAAGCUCAACCCUAGUAUCUAACCACCUAGUGCCCCUCAGAAGAGGCAAGUCGUAACAUGGUAAGUAUACCGGAAGGUGUGCUUGGAAA